CAAAUAACAUUGGUCUCAAAUCUUAAAGAAGACGUUUCGUCUAGAAGAUGACGACGAUAACGCAGCAAUAAACGGAAUGCAACCGCCUUUGUUCUUAAACGAGAACAAGAUUGAAGCGCGAGCGAACGUAAAAAUGCCACUGAUAAAAAAGUAGGCCUACAACCUGAAAUUCAAGCGGUCAGUUGUUAAACAAAAUGUUAAACUUCAAUAAUUGUUGGUAGUCAAGUUAUAUAGGCCAUUUAAUUAAUCUCUGAACAGCGUAAGCAUACCACAUUGUAAACCAUACCACAUUGGCGGGGAAAACACAUCGGCGGGAAAACACGGCAUACGCCAUGGAUUCAGCCUCGUACGCGCUCGCGUGUGUGUGUGUGUGUGUGUGUUUAACUCUUUCUCUCUUUCUAGUAGUUUCAUGUCGUUUAUAUGUUCAAUUUAAAAGAAAAGAUAAACCUAGUCUAAUAUGUUGUUUCAUCUUCUAGAGACCAUCCAGAGAACUCAUUGCUUCGGUUUGAUUGACGUCUAUUGGCCCUGCAGCCUGCUGUUUUUUUUACCAUCCAAACCCCCCUACCCCAUCUUUCUCGCUACCCCCAAACCCCAUCUCCUCUUAUGGCGUUUUUGAUGUCUCUUUUUUGAGACCGCUCAGUAAAACGGCUUGCCUAUCCUCUACCUGUCUCUACCCUAUUUCUCUCUAACUUAUUUACCGCUAUCAUUACGGCAUUCUCAUUUCUAAAGUACUUGAAAUGAACAAAAAAACCGAACUAAAAAAACCCUGAGCCAAUGAAAAACCCAGAGCCAUUGAAAAAAACCCAGAAACUUGAAAAAAAAAAAAAAUCUUUCUUUUUGAAAUAGAAAGUACCAUCUCACUACAAACUGGUUUGUUUUGAGAAAUCUCCUCCUGUACCUAUUGUCACACUCUGUACCUACUGUCACACUCC
This 932-nucleotide long non-coding RNA is filed under the name Gadus morhua (Atlantic cod). Its description in RNAcentral is "lncRNA (ENSGMOG00000024085.1)". The record is from RNAcentral. Lineage: Eukaryota; Metazoa; Chordata; Actinopteri; Gadiformes; Gadidae.